RNAcentral lists this transfer RNA (72 nucleotides) under Saccoglossus kowalevskii. RNAcentral describes it as "tRNA-Met". It matches the Rfam family "tRNA". From Rfam's summary of the family: Transfer RNA (tRNA) molecules are approximately 80 nucleotides in length. Their secondary structure includes four short double-helical elements and three loops (D, anti-codon, and T loops). Further hydrogen bonds mediate the characteristic L-shaped molecular structure. tRNAs have two regions of fundamental functional importance: the anti-codon, which is responsible for specific mRNA codon recognition, and the 3' end, to which the tRNAs corresponding amino acid is attached (by aminoacyl-tRNA synthetases). tRNAs cope with the degeneracy of the genetic code in two manners: having more than one tRNA (with a specific anti-codon) for a particular amino acid; and 'wobble' base-pairing, i.e. permitting non-standard base-pairing at the 3rd anti-codon position. Lineage: Eukaryota; Metazoa; Hemichordata; Enteropneusta; Harrimaniidae. The record is from RNAcentral.
AGCAGCGUGGCGCAGCGGAAGCGUGCUGGGCCCAUAACCCAGAGGUCCUGGAUCGAAAACCAGGCGCUGCUA